This 68-nucleotide transfer RNA is filed under the name Sphaerodactylus townsendi. Its description in RNAcentral is "tRNA-Thr". It matches the Rfam family "tRNA". From Rfam's summary of the family: Transfer RNA (tRNA) molecules are approximately 80 nucleotides in length. Their secondary structure includes four short double-helical elements and three loops (D, anti-codon, and T loops). The record is from RNAcentral. Lineage: Eukaryota; Metazoa; Chordata; Lepidosauria; Squamata; Sphaerodactylidae.
GCUGUGGCUCAGGGGUAAAGCAUCUGCUUGGUAUGCAGAAGGUCCUAAGUUCAAUCCCAGCAUUUCCA